RNAcentral lists this ribosomal RNA (258 nucleotides) under Burkholderia sp. ISO701_OTU58. RNAcentral describes it as "partial 16S ribosomal RNA". It matches the Rfam family "Bacterial small subunit ribosomal RNA", at positions 30 to 289 of the family's 1533-position model. Lineage: Bacteria; Pseudomonadati; Pseudomonadota; Betaproteobacteria; Burkholderiales; Burkholderiaceae. The record is from RNAcentral.
UUGAACGCUGGCGGCAUGCCUUACACAUGCAAGUCGAACGGCAGCACGGGGGCAACCCUGGUGGCGAGUGGCGAACGGGUGAGUAAUACAUCGGAACGUGUCCUGUAGUGGGGGAUAGCCCGGCGAAAGCCGGAUUAAUACCGCAUACGAUCUACGGAAGAAAGCGGGGGAUCGCAAGACCUCGCGCUAUGGGGGCGGCCGAUGGCAGAUUAGCUAGUUGGUGGGGUAAAGGCCUACCAAGGCGACGAUCUGUAGCUG